GGUAACUUGGCCGAGUGGUCUAUGGCGGUAGGUUUAGGCCCUAUUCUCUUCGGAGGCGUGAGUUCGAACCUCACAGUUAUCA
Non-coding RNA from Mycotypha africana, 82 nucleotides. The record is from the annotation of a RefSeq genome assembly. NCBI's taxonomy places the organism in Eukaryota, Fungi, Mucoromycota, Mucoromycetes, Mucorales, Mycotyphaceae.